CCCUGAUGCAGCCAUGCCGCGUGUGUGAAGAAGGCCUUCGGGUUGUAAAGCACUUUCAGUAGGGAGGAAGGUAGUGUAGUUAACACCUGCAUUAUUUGACGUUACCUACAGAAGAAGCACCGGCUAACUCCGUGCCAGCAGCCGCGGUAAUACGGAGGGUGCGAGCGUUAAUCGGAAUUACUGGGCGUAAAGCGCAUGCAGGCGGCCUGUUAAGUCAGAUGUGAAAGCCCGGGGCUUAACCUCGGAAUUGCAUUUGAAACUGGCAGGCUAGAGUCUUGUAGAGGGGGGUAGGAAUUUCAGGUGUAGCGGUGAAAUGCGUAGAGAUCUGAAGGAAUACCAGUGGCGAAGGCGGCCCCCUGGACAAAGACUGACGCUCAGAUGCGAAAGCGUGGGGAGCAAACAGGAUUAGAUACCCUGGUAG
Molecule: ribosomal RNA, 421 nt
Filed under: uncultured bacterium
Lineage: Bacteria
Description: bacterial SSU rRNA
Rfam family: Bacterial small subunit ribosomal RNA
Source: RNAcentral